CCCUUAGAUGUUCUGGGCAGCACGCGCGCUACAAUGGUCUUCGCAAACGGAUGCAUUCUCGAAGGAGAAUGCCAAUCUUGGAAUCUAUGCCUUGGUCGGGACAGUUGCUUGCAAUUUUUCGACUCGAACCAGGAAUUCCUUGUAAUCGUGAUUCAUCACAUCACGAUGAAUACGUCCCUGCCCUUUGUACACACCGCCCGUCGCUCCUACCGAUCGAAGAGUUAGGUGAAUUGUUUUGAUCGAUAAGAUUUGACUAUGGUCAACUCUCGUUGUGAAAUGCUGUGAAUCUGACUGUUUAGAGGAAGGAAAAGUCGUAACA
RNAcentral lists this ribosomal RNA (319 nucleotides) under uncultured eukaryote. Its description in RNAcentral is "partial 18S ribosomal RNA". It matches the Rfam family "Eukaryotic small subunit ribosomal RNA", at positions 1470 to 1796 of the family's 1831-position model. The record is from RNAcentral.